ACACAGGGCAAUGUAUCUGGUGUCCAUGGCGUGCUUGAGCACCCAGGGCUGAAACGGGAAUGAGGAAGGGCGGACCCAAUCGCGGCGCCCUGGCCUCAACCGCCCCCGCGACUGUGAGCGGCGAGCGACCUUUCAACACCCCACUGAGCGUUCCCGAUGGGACCGGCGCUUGGGAAGGGGAAAGGUCCGCAUCGACCCGCGAGUCAGGAGACCGGCCAGAUGCGAGCAACGAUC
RNAcentral lists this non-coding RNA (234 nucleotides) under Tritonibacter horizontis. Lineage: Bacteria; Pseudomonadati; Pseudomonadota; Alphaproteobacteria; Rhodobacterales; Paracoccaceae. The record is from RNAcentral. RNAcentral also lists the same sequence under 1 other name.